CUGCCUCCUAGGAACUCCUGGGACUUCUAGGUACAAACUCAGGUGCCCUUAUAAAGAGACCCACUGCUUGCCUUGAGUCCAGAAAGCACUGCUUCUGCAGUGAAAAACACACACUUACUAUGUCAGUUUUGGCCAUAAAAUGCCAGCCAAAUCCACUGCUGGCCUGAACUGCCCCUGGACACUGGACUUUCUGCACAGUGACUGGCAGCAGAGCAAGUGCAGCCAGGGUUUGUGGCCAAAGGGAAGAAAGCAUAGUAAAUUCAACCUCUGUUCCUCAUGGGAGUCUGACCGAUAAUCUCAGGCGGACCUUAGGAUCUUGGGCCUGGAGGCAAGAGAAAAAAGCUGGAGGAAGAGGAGUCGCAGAGAAACCCAGUCCUCUGACUGGUUUCUGGUGAGGUCUCUAUUCAUCACUGAUUUUAUCUGAUUUCCUCAAGAGUGCAUUCCAGAAGGGGACCUGCUAUUCUUCGAGGGGACCUGCUAUUCUUCGAGGCAGUGGACCCUGUUUGCUGAUGGUCAACACUCUGGCCCUGCUGCCCCAUGUCCCUGUGGAGAAGUGUGAAGGACGGGUGCCUUAAACCCACACUUCCAGGGACCCUUCAGCACAGGUCCUGCCUGUUCCCAUGGUGCUUCUCACCCUGAACCCUCAGAGCUACAGCCAGGGAUAGAGCAGAUGAGCAGUGAGCUGGUUUCCACCCUCUGGGGCAGGAGGGGCUUGGGCUUCCCUUUGACCCUCUUCCUUCCUUUCCCAGAUCUUCAAUAUUUGUUGUGAUGUAACAGCCAUAAGAGCUGUAAGAGGAACUGUGGGCUUUGGGAGCUUUCUUGGGUUGAAAGAGGGGUGGGGGGAGGGGAUGCAUGCAGGGGUAUGAAGGCAGCCCAAGGUCUCCCAGAGGCUCGGGAGGAAACCCUUUUGGAAUACAUGUGUUAUUGUUGCAUUACUGUGUUGUGAAGAUAAGAAGCUGCUCUGUAUGCUAAAGCUUUCUCUCCUCAAUAAAAAUAUAAAGGGUGU
RNAcentral lists this long non-coding RNA (1006 nucleotides) under Homo sapiens (human). RNAcentral's name for it is "HSALNT0283551". Lineage: Eukaryota; Metazoa; Chordata; Mammalia; Primates; Hominidae. The record is from RNAcentral.